CAAACCCAACGAUGAGAACUUUCAACCGCUGGGCUUCCACGUCGUGCCCAGAGUCAAACAAGGACAGUGUCUUAGGACAGCGGAGCUAUCGUCAAGGCGCAGAGCUCUGUGGCUGAGCAGAAUUCGUCGCAAAGACCUGGACGAAUUGGCGACGCAUUACCGAGUUUGUGGGGCGCAUUUAAUCACAGGACGACCAGCUUAUUUGAUGGAUGAGGCGAAUCCCGACUGGGCGCCGAGCCUCAAUCUCGGCUACAAGUCCACGACGCACGCUGGAAGAAGCGCAAGCGACAGGUACAUGCGACUCAAGCAACGGAGGCGUGCGAGUUCUGCAGCCAACGCCUUUGAAUUAAGGCAGCGACCGGAGA
RNAcentral lists this long non-coding RNA (365 nucleotides) under Dermacentor andersoni. Its description in RNAcentral is "uncharacterized LOC126524055". The record is from RNAcentral. Lineage: Eukaryota; Metazoa; Arthropoda; Arachnida; Ixodida; Ixodidae.